Molecule: ribosomal RNA, 420 nt
Filed under: Nostoc spongiaeforme AUS-JR/BS/MS/NT-066
Lineage: Bacteria; Bacillati; Cyanobacteriota; Cyanophyceae; Nostocales; Nostocaceae
Description: bacterial SSU rRNA
Rfam family: Bacterial small subunit ribosomal RNA
Source: RNAcentral
GUCCAGUUGGAACGACUGCUAAUACCGGAUGUGCCCUUGGGUAAAAGGUUUGUUUGCCUGGAAAUGAGCUCCCGUCUGAUUAGCUAGUUGGUGUGGUAAGAGCGCACCAAGGCGACAAUCAGUAGCUGGUCUGAGAGGAUGAUCAGCCACACUGGGACUGAGACACGGCCCAGACUCCUACGGGAGGCAGCAGUGGGGAAUUUUCCGCAAUGGGCGAAAGCCUGACGGAGCAAUACCGCGUGAGGGAGGAAGGCUCUUGGGUUGUAAACCUCUUUUCUCAAGGAAUAAAAAAGUGAAGGUACUUGAGGAAUAAGCAUCGGCUAACUCCGUGCCAGCAGCCGCGGUAAUACGGAGGAUGCAAGCGUUAUCCGGAAUGAUUGGGCGUAAAGGGUCCGCAGGUGGCAGUGUAAGUCUGCUGUC